Rattus norvegicus (Norway rat) is the source of this 2562-nucleotide non-coding RNA. The record is from RefSeq and is a predicted model, not a curated record. Lineage: Eukaryota; Metazoa; Chordata; Mammalia; Rodentia; Muridae.
UAAAAUAGAAUAAAUGUACCCAAAGACCGAUGGCAGUUGAUGUGUCAAUGCCCAGCACCCACUCUUGGGUAGGGUAAUUCUGGGGCGCGUGUUCUGAUUCCCAGAGUUCUCCGUUGGUAAGUAUAUCCAGGUACCCAUGGUGACAGCCGCUUUGACAACGCAUCCAGUAGAGGGCGCUUUCUGUGUCUCAACUCAUUUUCUGACCCCACACCUAGAAUUUCCUGUGCCUCUCAAACUAACCGCUUGUUCUCAAGCGGUUUCAGGGUCUGCUUCUAGGAGGACCCGAAGUACAUCAGAACCCUUAGGGGUUCUUCUGUAUUUUACGUCAUCAUAAGCCAUUCUGAACCCUAAGAAAAUGGGUCGCUAUACUUAAUGUCUUAGGAGUGAAAGCGUGGUUCAGUGAUGCUUUAACUUCUGCGUCAUCAGGAGUUCUCUGAGGCUUAGGCAUUUAUUGCUCUCCCUGAGAAGACUGGCUUUCCUCAGGUGAAGAACACGUGUGGAUGGGCGAGUCUGAAAGCCAUUUUUAUCUCCUUGGAAGGCAUUUUCAUUCCGUCGUUCAACAAAGAGAGCACGUCACAGCAGAAAAUACCACAUCUGGGUGAAAUGGAGUGCCAGCAACAGUGCCAAUGUUUGUGGAGGGUGAAGGAGAGAAGUGAGGAGCUGGAACCCCCACCCCUGCCCCGCCCCCACACCCCCGCCAUUAAAGAAAUAAUUGCAGAACAGAUUUUAACAAUUACUGUCCCUGCAGCGACUGUUGUUAUGGACGGAGCUAAUAAAUGUCUUCAACCAUUACCACUCUGAGAUACACUCUCAGCUUAUUUUCUGCCUUUGGAAGGCACGGCUGGGUUGAGGCAUUCUUUUUAGCUCCCCCCCACCCCAGCCACCACCCCCCCUUAAUCAAAGAAAGAGAUCUUAUCUCUCUGCCCAGCCUAGCUUACCCCUCCCUCUCCCCUCCUCCCUCAAUGCCUAUUUUACUGAAACCUGACUUGCAGGUCAGGGAACUGGUAACAGAUUAAUUUUACUCAAAGAGGAACACUAAGUAUUUUUGGCCGGGACACAUGAGAAUCCUGUUAUAAUAUUACCAUUUCCCCCCCCUUCUAAAUUAAAUAUUAGAAAAAAUUAAGCCAAGUAGUGGCCCACGCUACAGUGGAAAGUAUUUCUCUCGCAAACACGGGGAGAUAAACGCUUGUGUGAGCGGAGGCACGAUAAAUAUGCAUUACGUUAAAAAAACCUAGAUCAUGCAGGUUUUUAGAGUUAUAGCUAAAAGUGGUUUAGUGUUUCAUGCCUAAUAAUAGAUUACGCCUAUCUUAUUUCCAACCUUCAUUUCUCCUCUCUUUGAAGUCCAGCCAUAUAAAAGUUGUUUGUUGAACCACACUAAAGUUAAAGCAAAUAUUACUUAGGGUGAUUCAUACUGGCAAGAAUUUGCAACGAAGGCAGUGGUGUGUGUGUGUGUGUGUGUGUGUGUGUGUGUGUGUGUGUGUGUGUGUGUGUGUCUGUGUGUCUGUGUGUCUGUGUUGCCUGAGUCAAAGGAAAUGAAAUGUUUGUAAUAUUUUUCGGUUGAUAAAUUUAUUAAAACAUUCUCGAAGCUUGUAAGGGAAGCAAGGCUGACAUCCACAGACUCUGCAAACAGAUUACACCCGGCCCUGUGGGGGAGGCAGACCUUAAAGAGGGAAAAAUUCUCUGGAUUUCAGAAAUUGCCACUAGGUCACAGUAAUACUUAAUUAACUGAAUCCAUUAACAGAGGGCUAUAACCUAGUUGUUAAGACGAAGGGAGAAAAAAAAAAACAAGGAGAAAAAAAAAAACAAAAAGAAAGAACAAGUUUGGGGAGUAGUUAGAUUCAUUUAAUCCUCUGUUCUUUGCUUACGGAUUAGCCUUUCAGAAUGAGCAACCUGAUUUUUUUUUUUUUUAAAAAGGAUCCAUUUACCUUCCAGGCCUUUUCCUAGCAAAACAUUUUGUAGGGUUGCAAACGAGAUUAAUUUGUUGCCAGUUGCGCCAUACUGGCAGGGAUUCUGAAAAAAGAAUGUAAGUAAUCUAUCUUUGUUUGUAAGAUAUAAUUAAUCUGGCAGUUAAAAUUCUUUGGAAACAUUCUGAUGACUUAUGUGGAAAAGUAGAGCAAGGAUUUCAAAGAAAAACUCAGAACUGUGUGCAGGGGAAGAUAAAAGAUAUAUGAAGUGUUUGUUCUAAGCGAUACUAUUCAUUUACAGAUCAUAAUGUAGCCCCACCCUGGCAAUUAUUCUGGAAAGCAAGACAAAUCUUUGUCUAGAGCCUUCUGACGCGGUCUUGAUUUGACAAACAAAAUAAGCACAUUACCGUUGUAGUCUAAUAGACUGCAAGCUGCUUUAUUCGAGUCAGCUGAAUCCUGUUUUGCAUAAAAAAGAACACUGUUUGCUAUGGAGAACACAUUUAUGCUAAUAGGACUUUGACAAAGUAAAAUAAAAUCGCAUUAAGAUGCUGUAAGGAGAUAAGACAAUGAAAUCUCAGGGAGAGGGAGAGAGAGAGAGAGAGAGAGAGAGAGAGAGAGAGAGAGAGAGAGAGAGAGAGAGAGUUUUGGCACACACUAA